AUGGAUUUCUUCCGGAUCGAGAAGGGCGCGGAGGGCGGCGCCGUCAGGCCGGCAAAGUGUGGGCUUUCUCAGGAUGCUAAGAGGCGAAGGAGGCGAUCUCUUGUUAUGCACAAGAAGAAGAGGAGGCUACUGCCAUUUGUGCCCACUGAAGAUAGAGUUCGAAGGCUUGAACAGAUGGCUUCUGCAGCCACUGCAUUGACCACUUCGAAAAUGGAGUUCAGUAAUGAGCUGACUUAUGUGCCGAGUAUGGCCCCUAUAUCUGCCAAUCAAGCAAAACUGGAGGAAGGUGGUAUGCAGGUUCUUUCAAAAGAGGACAAAGAAACCAUCGAACUUUGCAGAAGCAUGUUGAAAAGAGGUGAAUGCCCUCCUCUUCUGGUGGUUUUUGAUUCCCAUGAGGGCUUCACUGUGCAGGCUGAUGCAUAUAUUAAGGAUCUGACAUUCUUAACUGAAUACACUGGCGAUGUUGAUUAUUUAAAGAACAGGGAAAAUAAUGGCUGUGAUAGUACAAUGACCCUUCUUUCACCAGCGGAUCCUUCCCAGAAGCUCGUUAUCUGCCCUGACAAACGUGGAAACAUCGCCCGCUUUAUUAAUGGCAUCAACAACCACACUCCUGAUGGGAAUAAUAAGCAGAACAUCAAGUGUGUGAGAAACGAUAUGGACGGUGAGUGCCAUGUCUUGCUGGUCACAUGCCGUGAUAUAUAUCGUGGUGAGAAGCUGUACUACGACUACAAUGGGCAUGACUAUAUGUACCAACGCAUCAUUUCGUCAACUCGCCCAAUAGUUCUGCCCUGCCCUGCAUCAAGGAGUCUGGGCGAUUAA
RNAcentral lists this ribosomal RNA (819 nucleotides) under Triticum aestivum (bread wheat). Its description in RNAcentral is "partial small subunit ribosomal RNA". The record is from RNAcentral. Lineage: Eukaryota; Viridiplantae; Streptophyta; Magnoliopsida; Poales; Poaceae.